Non-coding RNA from Acanthosepion pharaonis, 111 nucleotides. The record is from the annotation of a GenBank genome assembly. NCBI's taxonomy places the organism in Eukaryota, Metazoa, Mollusca, Cephalopoda, Sepiida, Sepiidae.
ACAGCCCUAUCACGUUGAAGCAUCGUUUCCUGUACGAUCACCGAUGUUAAGCAACGUCGAGCUUGGCCAAUAUCAAGAUGGGUGACCGCUUGGGAAUACCAGAUGCGGUAA